UGGGGAAUAUUGCACAAUGGGCGAAAGCCUGAUGCAGCGACGCCGCGUGAGGGAUGAAGGCCUUCGGGUUGUAAACCUCUUUCAGUAGGGAAGAAGCGAAAGUGACGGUACCUGCAGAAGAAGCGCCGGCUAACUACGUGCCAGCAGCCGCGGUAAUACGUAGGGCGCAAGCGUUGUCCGGAAUUAUUGGGCGUAAAGAGCUCGUAGGCGGUUUGUCGCGUCUGGUGUGAAAACUCAAGGCUCAACCUUGAGCUUGCAUCGGGUACGGGCAGACUAGAGUGUGGUAGGGGUGACUGGAAUUCCUGGUGUAGCGGUGGAAUGCGCAGAUAUCAGGAGGAACACCGAUGGCGAAGGCAGGUCACUGGGCCACUACUGACGCUGAGGAGCGAAAGCAUGGGGAGCGAACAGG
RNAcentral lists this ribosomal RNA (409 nucleotides) under uncultured bacterium. RNAcentral describes it as "bacterial SSU rRNA". It matches the Rfam family "Bacterial small subunit ribosomal RNA", at positions 355 to 776 of the family's 1533-position model. The record is from RNAcentral.